GAGGUAGAGCCAGUGAUUAUCCCCGUCACAGAUGAAAAGACUUGCAGAGAGGUCACACGGCAACUAAGGCGCUGAGGAGUAGUAACUGACGGUGUGGGUCCGACACCAGCCCCAUCAAUCACUAUGCUACUUUCCGUACGGCUGUGCUUCAACUGUUCCAUCUGUGAGAUGUGGGUAUCCGUGCCCACCUCAUAAGGGGUGAUAUCUCCUUGAAUUUUGAGUAGCACCAAGCACAGCACCACGCAUCCUGGUUGACCGUUUACACUGAGCAGUACAUUCUAAGAGGUAAAAUAUCUGUGUGACUUCAGAAAAUUAAUUUUAGGUUUGGUUCGCUCAUUCUUUUG
Molecule: long non-coding RNA, 344 nt
Organism: Mirounga angustirostris (Northern elephant seal)
Lineage: Eukaryota; Metazoa; Chordata; Mammalia; Carnivora; Phocidae
Exons: 3
Source: RefSeq, a predicted model, not a curated record